This 1534-nucleotide long non-coding RNA is filed under the name Oncorhynchus kisutch (coho salmon). RNAcentral's name for it is "lncRNA (ENSOKIG00005000353.1)". The record is from RNAcentral. Lineage: Eukaryota; Metazoa; Chordata; Actinopteri; Salmoniformes; Salmonidae.
AUCAAUAUGUAAUGUCCAGUAAAUAACAACAAACACGGUUACCGUUGGUUACAUCAUGUUUCAAUGCUUUAUCGACUGAUAAAAUUAGUCAUAUCUAAUAUAGUUUUUUUUGGACAGCAAUUCAUUGUCUGUUUGUAUGUCUUUGUUCUUUAUGUAUUUCAGAUUCAAUCUGCUGAUGCCCAAAAUGUCUGAGGUGUCCAGCAGGCCAAGGCCAGGAAAUACUACAGUACUGAGAGGGAGGCUGUUGUUAUCGGCUUCUGUGGCUUCCUGCAUGACACACUAACACACCUGAGCAACCUGUCCGCAGAGGUCCACCAUCACCAUAGCAACCUGUCCACCUGUCUGCAGAGGUCCACCAUCACCAUAGCAACCUGUCCACCUGUCUGCAGAGGUCCACCAUCAUCAUAGCAACCUGUCCACCUGUCUGCAGAGGUCCACCAUCACCAUAGCAGAAGCCCACAGCUCCUUGUGCUCAACACAGGCAGUACUUAAGAAGUACAAAACCAGGUAUGUUUAUUUAAGCUGCAAUAAGAAAUACUUACCUGAAGAGAAUUAAGAGAAAGGAAUACGUCAAUAAGAGAGGGAGAGAAAGUGUGAGUGAGAGUGUGUGGUAAAGGAACAUUCUGAAAGAAUGUUAAAAUGUGCCUUUUAUCAUCAGAGAAGGGCCCAUGAUGAAGGCCACAACGGCCAACAGAUAUGAGGGGAUUUCUCUGACCAGAGGUGACAGCAAGACCCUCGUCACCUCACAGGAUAAAAUGCUCGACAGACUAGUUGAGAGCAUGACUGACAGGUUCCAGGACGCCAGUGUAGGGGUUCUGUGUGCCACCAAGCUGGUCAGCUUCACCAGUGUAGGGGUCCUGUGUGCCACCAAGCUGGUCAGCUUCACCAGUGUAGGGGUCCUGUGUGCCACCAAGCUGGUCAGCUUCACCAGUGUAGGGGUCCUGUGUGCCACCAAGCUGGUCAGCUUCACCAACUGGCCAGAGUCAGGAGAUGAAGCAGCAGAUUUUGGAGACACUGAAUUGGAAACCCUGGUGGACCACUUCCUGUCCUGGAGACCUCUGGUAUCCAUGUUGAAAGGAUCAAAUCUUCUUUAAGUUUAUAUUCAACAUAAUAACUUAUCGUCUCAAUGAAAUGUACUGAAAUGAAUGUAAGGCAAAAAGGCAAUUUAUUAUUUUGGCUGGUAAAAAAAUAAGCUUGGCUGGUGGAUUUUUUAAUCUACCAGUCUCCUUGGCAGGUGAGCCAAGAAGUUAAUUUCGGACACUGCCCACACACCCACAUUGCCCUUAAAGGCAUUGACAGCGCUGAUCAUGUAUACCACAUCUUUGUCUUUUCCCUGAAGCUCGUAGAUGAGCUGGUUCAGUUUUGCUGUUUUGUUUCGUGAGGAAACCUCAGUCUAGCAGCCGUGCAUCAUCAGACAGUUCCUCACGUUCCUCAUUUCGUGACUCCAGAAAUGAUUUGAUCUCGGGCAGCAAGUCAACCAAUCGCUGCAGUACUUUCCCGCGACUCAACCACCUUAUGCAAGUGUGGAGAAUCA